CCUACGGGGCGCUGCAGUGAGGAAUAUUGGUCAAUGGACGCAAGUCUGAACCAGCCAUGCCGCGUGCAGGAAGACGGCUCUCUGAGUUGUAAACUGCUUUUGUACGAGGGUAAACGCAGAUACGCGUAUCUGUCUGAAAGUAUCGUACGAAUAAGGAUCGGCUAACUCCGUUCAAGCAGCCGCGGUAAUACUGAGGAUUCAAGCGUUAUCCGGAUUUAUUGGGUUUAAAGGGUGCGUAGGCGGUCGGAUAAGUUAGAGGUGAAAUCCCGAGGCUCAACUUCGGGAUUGCCUCUGAUACUGUUUGGCUAGAGAGUAGUAGCGGUAGGCGGAAUGUAUGGUGUAGCGGUGAAAUGCUUAGAGAUCAUACAGAACACCGAUUGCGAAGGCAGCUUACCAAGCUACUUCUGACGUUGAGGCACGAAAGCGUGGGGAGCAAACAGGAUUAGAUACCCCUGUAGUC
RNAcentral lists this ribosomal RNA (460 nucleotides) under uncultured bacterium. RNAcentral's name for it is "partial 16S ribosomal RNA". It matches the Rfam family "Bacterial small subunit ribosomal RNA", at positions 338 to 795 of the family's 1533-position model. The record is from RNAcentral.